GAUACAUCACUUUUGGGACUGUCCACUUGCUCAAGCGGUUAUCAAGAGGUCAUUAAUCAAAUUGUUGCAUGCGAUUGGGACAUCCAAUAUCCCGAGCCGAAACCUGGCUAAAUCGGCCUCCGACGGGAAUACAGCAAUGUGUUCGGGAAGUCCUGGCGCCAGUCAGUGCGAUGGAGACGGGGCAUCGGUUCGCACAAGUUACAGCACACCGACAGGAAAUCCCACCUCAGGCCGCCCAAAUCAUGGACCGGGCCAUCCACAGAAUGAUUGUUCAUUUCUGGUGCGGUGUGGAACACAGUUGGACCUUACCACCCUUUUUACGGGUAGCAGAGGAUAAUUUGCUUUGCGUGGAUCCGCACACAGGCGAAGGCAAUCAGUAAUUCCACCCCUGGGUGACUCUUCAGAUACAGCUUGGUAGGAAGGCGGUCCCGUGUGUAUUUGGCCGCAUUUCUUCAAAUCGAGGCAAGAAUACUAUGCCGGCAUGGGUUUGUCAUUUAUAGGGAGCCAUAUUGGCAAAAUCCCCUCUUUGCAACAGUGCUAGUCCGGUCUUCGAGCUUGCUGAGGUGUUGUGCGUGCCGGUACGGACCAUUUGUUCUUCCUUCCUAGGCCUGUGUCUGUUGCAGUGACAGGUGAUGUGCCCUUUGGCUCGGUUUCUUUGCAUUACGGUUUAGAAACUUGGUAGGCCGCUGUAAUGAUAACAAAGGUAAGGACGGGAAUUUCCAGGAUAGGCAUGUACUUGCUAAGAGGAAAGAGCAAGCGCAUAUUCAAGGUGAUAAUGUUCAUUCCAAAGUGCGGUUGCAUGACUGAGACACUUUCCGUCCCGAAGGCCCGACAGCAUUAUACGUAAGCCUAAA
Molecule: long non-coding RNA, 854 nt
Filed under: Volvox carteri
Lineage: Eukaryota; Viridiplantae; Chlorophyta; Chlorophyceae; Chlamydomonadales; Volvocaceae
Description: long non-coding RNA (VCAR_LNC002452)
Source: RNAcentral